GUGAGUAACACGUAGGUAAUCUGCCGUAGAGUGGGGGAUAACCCAUGGAAACAUGGACUAAUACCGCAUAUACUCUUGACGCUAAAGCGUAGUAGWGGAAAGGAGCAAUCCGSUUUACKAUGAGCCUGCGGCCUAUUAGCCUGUUGGUGAGAUAAAAGCCCACCAAAGCUACGAUAGGUAGCCGACCUGAGAGGGUGACCGGCCACAUUGGGACUGAGAUACGGCCCAGACUCCUACGGGAGGCAGCAGCUGAGAAUCUUCCACAAUGGACGAAAGUCUGAUGGAGCGACAUCGCGUGAGGGAUGAAGGCCUUCGGGUUGUAAACCUUGGAAAUUAUCGAAGAAUGAGUGACAGUAGAUAAUGUAAGCCUCGGCUAACUACGUGCCAGCAGCCGCGGUAAUACGUAGGAGGCAAACGUUGCUCGGAUUUACUGGGCGUAAAGGGUGAGUAGGCGGAACUAUAAGUCUAAGGUGAAAUAUCGAAGCUCAACUUCGGAAACGCCUCGGAUACUGUGGUU
This 517-nucleotide ribosomal RNA is filed under the name Brachyspira aalborgi. RNAcentral's name for it is "bacterial SSU rRNA". It matches the Rfam family "Bacterial small subunit ribosomal RNA", at positions 106 to 640 of the family's 1533-position model. Lineage: Bacteria; Pseudomonadati; Spirochaetota; Spirochaetia; Brachyspirales; Brachyspiraceae. The record is from RNAcentral.